Molecule: ribosomal RNA, 678 nt
Filed under: Protomerulius brachysporus
Lineage: Eukaryota; Fungi; Basidiomycota; Agaricomycetes; Auriculariales; Hyaloriaceae
Description: partial 28S ribosomal RNA
Rfam family: Eukaryotic large subunit ribosomal RNA
Source: RNAcentral
CUCUGGCCUCAAAUCAGGUAGGACUACCCGCUGAACUUAAGCAUAUCAAUAAGCGGAGGAAAAGAAACUAACAAGGAUUCCCCUAGUAACGGCGAGUGAAGCGGGAAAAGCUCAAAUUUGAAAUCUGGCGGUCUCAGGCCGUCCGAGUUGUAUUCUAGAGAGGCGUCUUCCGCGCCGGACCGUGUACAAGUCCCUUGGGAUAGGGCGUCAUAGAGGGUGAGAAUCCCGUCCAUGACACGGACCGCCGGUGCUUUGUGAUGCGCCUUCAAAGAGUCGAGUUGUUUGGGAAUGCAGCUCAAAACGGGUGGUAAAUUCCAUCUAAAGCUAAAUACAGGCGAGAGACCGAUAGCGAACAAGUACCGUGAGGGAAAGAUGAAAAGCACUUUGGAAAGAGAGUUAAACAGUACGUGAAAUUGUUGAAAGGGAAACGCUUGGAGUCAGUCGCGUCCGCCGGGACUCAGCUGGGCUUUUGCCCGGUGCACUUCUCGGUGGAUGGGCCAGCAUCGAUUUCAGCUGCCGGACAAGGGCGGGAGGAAUGUGGCACCUCCGGGUGUGUUAUAGCCUCUCGUCGGAUACGGUGGCCGGGAUCGAGGUCAGCAGCACGCCUUAUGGUCGGGGUUCGCCCACGCCACGUGCUUAGGAUGCUGGCGUAAUGGCUCUAAACGACCCGUCUUGAAA